RNAcentral lists this ribosomal RNA (301 nucleotides) under uncultured bacterium. RNAcentral's name for it is "partial 16S ribosomal RNA". It matches the Rfam family "Bacterial small subunit ribosomal RNA", at positions 509 to 809 of the family's 1533-position model. The record is from RNAcentral.
CAGCAGCCGCGGGAAUACGGAGGGUGCAAGCGUUAAUCGGAAUUACUGGGCGUAAAGCGCACGCAGGCGGUCUGACAAGUCAGAUGUGAAAUCCCCGGGCUUAACCUGGGAACUGCAUUUGAAACUGUCAGGCUGGAGUCUUGUAGAGGGGGGUAGAAUUCCAGGUGUAGCGGUGAAAUGCGUAGAGAUCUGGAGGAAUACCGGUGGCGAAGGCGGCCCCCUGGACAAAGACUGACGCUCAGGUGCGAAAGCGUGGGGAGCAAACAGGAUUAGAUACCCCAGUAGUCCCUGUCUCUUAUAA